GAUGAACGCUGGCGGCGUGCCUAAUACAUGCAAGUCGAGCGAACGGACGAGAAGCUUGCUUCUCUGAUGUUAGCGGCGGACGGGUGAGUAACACGUGGAUAACCUACCUAUAAGACUGGGAUAACUUCGGGAAACCGUAGCUAAUACCGGAUAAUAUUUUGAACCGCAUGGUUCAAAAGUGAAAGACGGUCUUGCUGUCACUUAUAGAUGGAUCCGCGCUGCAUUAGCUAGUUGGUAAGGUAACGGCUUACCAAGGCAACGAUGCAUAGCCGACCUGAGAGAGUGAUCGGCCACACUGGAACUGAGACACGGUCCAGGCUCCUACGGGAGGCAGCAGUAGGGAAUCUGCCGCAAUGGGCGAAAGCCUGACGGAGCAACGCCGCGUGAGUGAUGAAGGUCUUCGGAUCGUAAAACUCUGUUAUUAGAGAAGAACAUAUGUGUAAGUAACUGUGCACAUCUUGACGGUACCUAGUCAGAAAGCCACGGCUAACUACGUG
Molecule: ribosomal RNA, 497 nt
Filed under: uncultured bacterium
Lineage: Bacteria
Description: partial 16S ribosomal RNA
Rfam family: Bacterial small subunit ribosomal RNA
Source: RNAcentral